Molecule: long non-coding RNA, 704 nt
Organism: Hemicordylus capensis (graceful crag lizard)
Lineage: Eukaryota; Metazoa; Chordata; Lepidosauria; Squamata; Cordylidae
Exons: 2
Source: RefSeq, a predicted model, not a curated record
CAAGACUUCCCAAUCUUGAUAUAGUCGUCAGCUUCUUGCCAACGGACCUUUAAAAACGCCACUGUCCUUUCUUGCUGCAAAAUGAAAUCUUUCUCUCUUCCUGCCAAAUAGGAGAUGCGGUGUAAGAUACAAGAAAUCUCUUUUCCAGGACCCAUUGGCAUAUUUCAUAAUGUCACUGAGUGACCUGGCUAUGGAACAACUUCUUCUGCCAGUUGGGCAAAUCAUUAGGAAGCUGAAAUUGCUUUUGUGAAUUCCAGUUGCUUUUCUUGAUGAACCAUUUGAAAAUGAAGGCACUGAGAUGUAAUUCUACAAAGGCACCACUUUACUGAAGUUCACCUACAUCCCCCAUGCCCCAAAUUUCAUUGCUAGCAUGUGACAGGUGGGUUGUCUGUUUAUUCCUUGGCUCUUUGGUGGGCCAGAUUCUUAACUGGCAAACUGGCUUUCAUGGAACGGUGCCAAUUUACAUCUAUUAGUUUCCCCCAUCUGUGUUGCUAAGUUCUGUGCUAUUGUGUUUAAGAUCUGCCAAGUAAUGCUUAAGGUGCCCUCAAAUGGUUAGGCAAAGUAUUUUACCUUAUUAGGUGAAUUGGUCUUUACCUAAAUGUGGUUAAUUUGAUAGAUGGACUGUAUGCUUGCUAUCAACUGUAACUGUUGUGAACGGUUUCUGGUCAAGUACUGUAAUAAAGAUCUAUCUAUCUAGUUUCUAA